RNAcentral lists this ribosomal RNA (464 nucleotides) under uncultured bacterium. RNAcentral's name for it is "partial 16S ribosomal RNA". It matches the Rfam family "Bacterial small subunit ribosomal RNA", at positions 28 to 507 of the family's 1533-position model. The record is from RNAcentral.
GACGAACGCUGGCGGCGUGCUUAACACAUGCAAGUCGAACGGAAAGGCCCUGCUUGCAGGGUACUCGAGUGGCGAACGGGUGAGUAACACGUGGGUGAUCUGCCCUGCACUUCGGGAUAAGCCUGGGAACAUGGGUUUAUUCCGGCUUGGAGGCACUCUUUCUGGUAGUGGUGGGAAGGUUUUUCGGGGCAGGUGGGGCUCGCCGCCCUUCAGCUUGGUGGUUGGGUAAUGGGCUACCAAGGCGGGGGAGGGUCGCCGGCCCGGGAGGGUUGACGGGCACAUUGGGACUGGGAUACGGCCCAGACUCCUACGGGAGGCAGCAAUUGGGAAUAUUGCACAAUUGGCGCAAGCCUGAUGCAGCGACGCCGCGUGGGGGAUGACGGCCUUCGGGUUGUAAACUCCUUUCGCUAGGGACGAAGCUUUUUGUGACGGUACCUAGAUAAGAAGCACCGGCUAACUACGUG